RNAcentral lists this ribosomal RNA (253 nucleotides) under uncultured bacterium. RNAcentral's name for it is "partial 16S ribosomal RNA". It matches the Rfam family "Bacterial small subunit ribosomal RNA", at positions 524 to 776 of the family's 1533-position model. The record is from RNAcentral.
UACGGAGGGGGCUAGCGUUGUUCGGAAUUACUGGGCGUAAAGCGCACGUAGGCGGCUUCGUAAGUUAGAGGUGAAAGCCCGGAGCUCAACUCCGGAAUUGCCUUUAAGACUGCAUCGCUAGAAUUGUGGAGAGGUAAGUGGAAUUCCGAGUGUAGAGGUGAAAUUCGUAGAUAUUCGGAAGAACACCAGUGGCGAAGGCGACUUACUGGACGACUGUUGACGCUGAGGUGCGAAAGCGUGGGGAGCAAACAGG